Molecule: long non-coding RNA, 1208 nt
Organism: Peromyscus leucopus (white-footed mouse)
Lineage: Eukaryota; Metazoa; Chordata; Mammalia; Rodentia; Cricetidae
Exons: 2
Source: RefSeq, a predicted model, not a curated record
GUUAAACGUUUUCUUUUAUAAGUUGCUUUGGUCAUGGUGUUUUGCAUUGGCAAUAGAAAAGUAACCAAGACAAGCAUACACAGUAACAGAUUCAUUAUGGCAUUUACACACACACACACACACACACACACACACACACACACACAUACACACAUAUACACACACCAUUCUCAUUUGUUUUUUCUUCCGAUUGCUGUCCCAGGACCCACUGCCACCUCUGGCUUACUCUCCAACUUUCCCAAGAUGCUCUUGAAACUUCUGCUUUCUUAUUAUGUACUCCAUUAUACUCCCUUUUGCCACACUUAAAAGUUCUUUCUCUCCCAUGACCUCCUCUCUCAUUUCAUGACCUCAGAUAAGUAAAUAGACACACAUGCAAUUUUAAAAUAUAGUUCUUUAUUUUUGAGAAAAACAGAAUGCCCUUGUGAUUCUGAUUCUGGCUUAUUUUUGCUUAACACAAGCUUCCCCUUUUCUAUAUGCCAAAAAUAAACUUGCUGAGAAAGAAAUUGGUGUGUUGGGGGGAAUCCCAUUCACAAGAGCAAAAGUAAUACCUUAGAAUAAAUCUAACCAAGGAGGCAAAAGACAUGCACAAUGGAAACUUUAAGAUGCUGAAGGAAGAAUUAAAGAAAACACUAGAAGAUUGAAAGCCUUCCCAAGCUUAUGAAUUGGCAGGAUUAAUGUGGAAAAAUAGCUAUAGUACCAAACAAUAUCUGACUACAUAAUUUUGUGCUUGUCUUGAAUGUCCUUGUGUUCCCAGUAAAUUCAACAGAUAACCCCGCUGAAUGUAACUAUCUUGGUUCAUAGCUAUUUCCUUUUGUUUUAUUUCAGCAACUGAGAUAUGCUUUCCUGGUUUUUAGGUUAAUAACCGGUGAGCUGAUGCAAUCCUGAAGGUUUUACCCAUGCAGGCUCUCUGUUUGGGCUAGAUUGGCCUCUGGUCCACUAUCACACUUGGGAAGAGGUGAACACUUUUAUUCUUCUGCACUUCUGGGCUCAUCAGAUUGAAGGAGCAAAGACUGAAGUGAAAUCGAAUUCAACCUGAAUUAUAGUGAGAAAUGAAGAUUCUAAAUGCCCAUGAUCUGCUCCUGGAGUGUUCUCUGCCUCGUAGUCAUCCAUGUUCAGCCAGUGCUCAUCCGUGUAACUGAAUCUCAUGCUUAGAUUUCUGUAUCUUCUGUAAGAUGAAUGAGAGGUAAUAGAAUGGAAUUGAGUGCUCA